UACUCCUGUUAAUGACAAUUAAUAUUAGAGGCGACCCUCAGGCGGCCUUCGGCGGGUUACUUGUCAAAAUAAAAAAAUAAACGUCUAAUCCCAUCGGGGGGCGGCAAGACAGUCACAAACACGGGCUUGUUUGUGCGUCUGUAACGGCGAUAAGCUUUGCUAGAUGAGCAUCCUGACAGAAUAACAAGCUAAAUGGUCUUGGAGAAAGGCGUCGCAAUCGGCAUUGACCUGGGCAUCACGUAUACCGCUUGUUGUAGGUGCUAAGAAGAGACCGGACACACCGGAUCCAGUUUGAUCAUUCAUAGAAUUUAUUGCAGGUCUGACACAUCGCUCACAUAUGUUCGCAGCUGACAGCAUUUACAGUUUCAAGUAAGGAUGUGGCUAGCCGCUCCUUAUUGAGGCCAUUUGGAGUUGUCAUAGCAGAGGACUCGCGUGUGCAACCUAACAUGAAUAACGACGGUCCUGUUCUCCGGUGAGUCCCAGAUGCGGGCCAUGGAACGGGACUGUCAUACAUGCUCAUGAGUUUAACCACGCAACGACAUGAGCCAAUGGCCGCUGCGAUGAGGGUACUGUAUUUUGUUCACAUGCACGCUGUAACGUGAACACCAGCUGAAAAUGAGUCUUGACGCUUUCAAUUACUGAACUGGCACAAGCUCGUUUCUUUGGUUCAGUUUUUGCACAUGCAGCAAAGCGCCGUGCACGGUUGUUUUUUUUUUUUUUUUUGGGUAUCGUCAACGUCACACAGUGAAGCGAAUCGUUCUCACAAAUGUACUGUUCGGAAAGCUUGAAAUGAAAAGGCAGUCAAGUGGCAAAGCGCGAGGAGUCAUUUUGAGCUGCAGAGUCUGAGGAUCGUUCGAUCAGUUGGGAGACAGCAAGAUGAGUUUAAGGUUUUGAUUGAAUGGCCAUAUUUGUUGAAAAUCCCCCUUAAAAAUAUAUAAAGAUGUGUUUUUUUUCCCUUCUAUUGGAUAAAACAAGUUGAGACAUCUGCUUUUGAGGCAUCAAUGUAACCUAGUCGCUAACAAAAAUGAUUGACUUCACUUCUACGUUCAUGUCUCCUCUCGCUUUGCUUUUACAUAAAAACAAUUUACGGGAAUAAUAUUUAUUUCAUGUUUCUCUGUCACACACACACACACACGCAGACAUUUUACUCUUAUCAAUUCAGUACCAGAACAACCCAACCUGAGCUGCUAUAAUACGAGCACCUGUGGCGCAGGAGCAAAUGUCCCAUUCAAGAUUUAUGUCUCAGCAGGCCUUGACCACUUCUCAUCAUCUUGACUCUCACAACAAACGAUAGCUGGCAAAAAUCAAACCAAAGCAAAAAUAAAUAAAUACAAAGCACACAGUGCUGAAACGUCAUCAUUUCAUCUCGUGUUUUUUUUUUUUUUAACAGUUGACCUUCUUUGUUCUUUUUUCCGGCACUACCGCUACAUCCUUUAUUACCAUCCUGAGAAUUAAAGCUUCUUAACACAUCUGCCUCCUCUCUCUCACUUACUUUACCCUCAUUUAAAAA
This is a long non-coding RNA of Hippocampus zosterae (dwarf seahorse), 1510 nucleotides long. RefSeq lists it as uncharacterized. The transcript has 2 exons. The record is from RefSeq and is a predicted model, not a curated record. NCBI's taxonomy places the organism in Eukaryota, Metazoa, Chordata, Actinopteri, Syngnathiformes, Syngnathidae.